This 209-nucleotide unclassified non-coding RNA is filed under the name Hevea brasiliensis (rubber tree). Lineage: Eukaryota; Viridiplantae; Streptophyta; Magnoliopsida; Malpighiales; Euphorbiaceae. The record is from RNAcentral.
CAUCCAAAGAUCGCCGAGGAGGCUGCCAGUUAACAAAUAUUGAUGAUGCAAAAAAAGUUAGUAUCAUGUAUUAACUUGAGUGCUCAGGCACCUCAACAUUUUAUUCACGAAGUUCUUGGCUUAAGAAAAGGAAUGCCAAUCAACAAGAUUCUCAACAUUUUAUUCACGAAGUUCUUGGCUUAAGAAAAGGAAUGCCAAUCAACAAGAUU